RNAcentral lists this ribosomal RNA (487 nucleotides) under uncultured Turicibacter sp. RNAcentral's name for it is "partial 16S ribosomal RNA". The record is from RNAcentral. Lineage: Bacteria; Bacillati; Bacillota; Erysipelotrichia; Erysipelotrichales; Turicibacteraceae.
CACGUAGUUAGCCGUGGCUUUCUCAUAAGGUACCGUCAAUUGAUAGUCAUUUCCUCCUAUCACCUUUCUUCCCUUAUAACAGAAUUUUACAACCCGAAGGCCUUCUUCAUUCACGCGGCGUUGCUCGGUCAGGCUUUCGCCCAUUGCCGAAGAUUCCCUACUGCUGCCUCCCGUAGGAGUCUGGGCCGUGUCUCAGCCCCAGUGUGGCCGUUCACCCUCUCAGGUCGGCUACGCAUCGUCGCCUUGGUAGGCCUUUACCCCACCAACUAGCUAAUGCGCCGCAGGCUCAUCCAUCAGUGAUGCCAGGAGCAUCUUUAAACUUUCGUCCUAUCCGGUAUUAGCGAUCGUUUCCAAUCGUUGUCCCCGUCUGAUGGGCAGAUCACCUACGUGUUACUCACCCGUUCGCCGCUUCCCACCGAAGUGGUUCGCUCGACUUGCAUGUAUUAGGCACGCCGCCAGCGUUCAUCCUGAGCCAGGAUCAAACUCU